AACGAACGCUGGCGGCAUGCCAAACACAUGCAAGUCGAACGAAGCCUUCGGGCUUAGUGGCGCACGGGUGCGUAACGCGUGGGAAUCUGCCCUUGGGUUCGGAAUAACAGUUAGAAAUGACUGCUAAUACCGAAUGAUGUCUUCGGACCAAAGAUUUAUCGCCCAAGGAUGAGCCCGCGUCGGAUUAGCUAGUUGGUGAGGUAAAGGCUCACCAAGGCGACGAUCCGUAGCUGGUCUGAGAGGAUGAUCAGCCACACUGGGACUGAGACACGGCCCAGACUCCUACGGGAGGCAGCAGUGGGGAAUAUUGGACAAUGGGCGAAAGCCUGAUCCAGCAAUGCCGCGUGAGUGAUGAAGGCUUAGGGUUGUAAAGCUCUUUACCCGGGAUGAUAAUGACAGUACCGGGAGAAUAAGCCCCGGCUAACUCCGUGGCCAGCAGCCGCGGUAAU
This 449-nucleotide ribosomal RNA is filed under the name uncultured bacterium. RNAcentral describes it as "bacterial SSU rRNA". It matches the Rfam family "Bacterial small subunit ribosomal RNA", at positions 29 to 524 of the family's 1533-position model. The record is from RNAcentral.